RNAcentral lists this ribosomal RNA (468 nucleotides) under uncultured bacterium. RNAcentral describes it as "partial 16S ribosomal RNA". It matches the Rfam family "Bacterial small subunit ribosomal RNA", at positions 28 to 507 of the family's 1533-position model. The record is from RNAcentral.
GACGAACGCUGGCGGCGUGCUUAACACAUGCAAGUCGAACGGAAAGGCCCUGCUUUUGUGUGGUGCUCGAGUGGCGAACGGGUGAGUAACACGUGAGUAACCUGCCCUUGACUUUGGGAUAACUUCAGGAAACUGGGGCUAAUACCGGAUAGGAGCUCCUGCUGCAUGGUGGUGGUUGGAAAGUUUCGGCGGUUGGGGAUGGACUCGCUGGUUAUCAGCUUGUUGGUGGGGUAGUGGCUUACCAAGGCUUUGACGGGUAGCCGGCCUGAGAGGGUGACCGGCCACAUUGGGCCUGAGAUACGGACCAGAAUCCUACGGGAGGCAGUAGUGGGGAACAUUGCACAAUGGGCGGAAGCCAGAUGCAGCAACGCCGCGUGCGGGAUGACGGCUUUCGGGUUGUAAACCGCUUUCGACUGUGACGAAGAGUGAGUGACGGUAAUGGGUAAAGAAGCACCGGCUAACUACGUG